GACGAACGCUGGCGGCGUGCUUAACACAUGCAAGUCGAACGGAAAGGCCCUGCUUUUGUGGGGUGCUCGAGUGGCGAACGGGUGAGUAACGCGUGAGUAACCUGCCCUUGACUUUGGGAUAACUUCAGGAAACUGGGGCUAAUACCGGAUAGGAGCUCCUGCUGCAUGGUGGGGGUUGGAAAGUUUCGGCGGUUGGGGAUGGACUCGCGGCUUAUCAGCUUGUUGGUGGGGUAGUGGCUUACCAAGGCUUUGACGGGUAGCCGGCCUGAGAGGGUGACCGGCCACAUUGGGACUGAGAUACGGCCCAGACUCCUACGGGAGGCAGCAGUGGGGAAUAUUGCACAAUGGGCGGAAGCCUGAUGCAGCAACGCCGCGUGCGGGAUGACGGCCUUCGGGUUGUAAACCGCUUUCGCCUGUGACGAAGCGUGAGUGACGGUAACGGGUAAAGAAGCACCGGCUAACUACGUG
This 468-nucleotide ribosomal RNA is filed under the name uncultured bacterium. Its description in RNAcentral is "partial 16S ribosomal RNA". It matches the Rfam family "Bacterial small subunit ribosomal RNA", at positions 28 to 507 of the family's 1533-position model. The record is from RNAcentral.